UGAUCGAGAUGAUCCGCAAAAAUCCGGAUUCACGUCGCCUGAUCGUCAGUGCGUGGAAUCCCGCCGACGUCGACAAGAUGGCGCUGCCUCCGUGUCACUGCCUGUUCCAGUUCUAUGUCGCUAACGGAAAAUUGUCCUGCCAACUGUACCAGCGUUCGGCGGACGUAUUUCUCGGCGUGCCGUUCAACAUCGCGUCCUAUGCGCUGCUGACCAUGAUGGUGGCGCAGGUGACUGGGCU
This 238-nucleotide unclassified non-coding RNA is filed under the name Hevea brasiliensis (rubber tree). Lineage: Eukaryota; Viridiplantae; Streptophyta; Magnoliopsida; Malpighiales; Euphorbiaceae. The record is from RNAcentral.